RNAcentral lists this small nuclear RNA (20 nucleotides) under Arabidopsis thaliana (thale cress). RNAcentral describes it as "snRNA_02561". The record is from RNAcentral. Lineage: Eukaryota; Viridiplantae; Streptophyta; Magnoliopsida; Brassicales; Brassicaceae.
CGUGCUUGGGCGAGAGUAGU